Long non-coding RNA from Acanthopagrus latus (yellowfin seabream), 762 nucleotides. RefSeq lists it as uncharacterized. Lineage: Eukaryota; Metazoa; Chordata; Actinopteri; Spariformes; Sparidae. The record is from RefSeq and is a predicted model, not a curated record. The transcript has 4 exons.
GGUUCAGCUACAAGCACAUAGCUUGAAGCCAUGUAGUACGGAUCUGCGAGAUGAGAUGAUCAUGUCAUUUCUCUGCCUCACAAGGUCCGUUUGAGAGACUUUGCUGGACUUUGGCGUCAUUUUCUCUACCAUAGAGGCGUCCACACAGACACGGAGUGGAGCAGAGACGUGGACGUUAACACGAGUUGAUGACAGGAUGUGUUGUGAGCUGCUGCACCUGUUUUCUUUUGGGAAAAGACACCCGUUGAAAUGGAAGACGGGACUGCCGAUCCCCCACAGAGAACAUUCAACACCAUGGGAGUGCCGCAAGCAAUCUGUGCAGCCGGAGAAGACCCAAGGAGAUCAGCCUGAACAAUGCUCCGCUGCUUCCCUCUUUCUUUCUUUUUUUUUUAUUUUUUUUUUUUUACAUCUUUCAGAUGUAUAGGGCUUAAUUAUAUACUGCAGCCCACGAGCAAUUCCCUCAAAGUGUCAAAGAUCCUCCGUACAUGACUGUAUGUAUUUGUCUGCGUCUUUUUGCCUCUUCUUUGCUUUUUUAUGUUUUAUGAAUACUUUAUCUAUGUUUACGACGUUUCUUUGUCUAAAUUAUGAAUAAGAAAAACAUUGUCUUCACAAGUUAAUGUUAUUACGCCAAACCCGACAUGUUUCCGUGCGACUUGUUUGUAAAUGUCACACACAAAACCCCCUCAAGGUAACCUCGAAACUAAACAAUAAUUUUGUUUGCCCGUGCCCUUGACAAUGAAGUAUUUGUUUCUUGCCACAAUG